Molecule: non-coding RNA, 24 nt
Filed under: Arabidopsis thaliana (thale cress)
Lineage: Eukaryota; Viridiplantae; Streptophyta; Magnoliopsida; Brassicales; Brassicaceae
Source: RNAcentral
UACACCCGAACCUUGCUUUGAUGA